Molecule: microRNA precursor, 201 nt
Organism: Oryza rufipogon (brownbeard rice)
Lineage: Eukaryota; Viridiplantae; Streptophyta; Magnoliopsida; Poales; Poaceae
Rfam family: MIR812 microRNA precursor family
Source: Rfam
UAAAACAUCAACUCCCUCCGUGUCCAACUUUGACUGUCCGUCUUAUAUGAAAUUUUUUUAUAAUUUGUAUUUUCAUUGUUGUUAAAUGAUAAAACAUGAUUAAUAUUUUAUACGUGACUUGUCUUUUUAAUUUUUUUCAUAAUUUUUUCAAAUAAGACGGACAGUCAAACGUUGGGUACGGAAACCAGGGUUUGUCUUUUU